Non-coding RNA from Bos taurus (domestic cattle), 57 nucleotides. The record is from Rfam. NCBI's taxonomy places the organism in Eukaryota, Metazoa, Chordata, Mammalia, Artiodactyla, Bovidae.
UGGCUCAGACGGUAAAGCGUCUGUCUGCAAUGCAGAAGACCCGGGUUCAGUCCCUGG